AGAGCAACCACUUAACACCUAACCAAUUAUUGAUGUAUAUUCCAUGUUAUCUCUGACAAUGCAUAUGAUGUAAUUUUGCUUUAAAAGGGACUUGCCGUCCCCUCUGAAUAAACUUUCCUCAAGUUAUUCAACAACCUAGAACCUGUGUCUGGUGUGAAUUACUUCAGGGAGCGUGCACGCAUAGUUUCAUUGAUUUGGCCAGGGGCAGAUACA
Pelobates cultripes (western spadefoot toad) is the source of this 213-nucleotide non-coding RNA. Lineage: Eukaryota; Metazoa; Chordata; Amphibia; Anura; Pelobatidae. The record is from the annotation of a GenBank genome assembly.